CAGCAGGCGCGCAAAUUACCCACUCCCGGCACGGGGAGGUAGUGACGAAAAAUAACGAUACGGGACUCAUCCGAGGCCCCGUAAUCGGAAUGAGUACACUUUAAACCCUUUAACGAGUAUCCAUUGGAGGGCAAGUCUGGUGCCAGCAGCCGCGGUAAUUCCAGCUCCAAUAGCGUAUAUUAAAGUUGUUGCGGUUAAAAAGCUCGUAGUUGGAUUUGUGUCCCACGCUGUCGGUUCACCGUUCGUCGGUGUUUAACUGGCAUGCCCGUGCGGACGUCCUGCCGGUGGAUGCGGUCGGCCGUGGGCCUCUGGUCUGCGCGUCGGCGGUCCGAUGCAAUCCUACCGCGGUGCUCUUCACCGAGUGUCGAGGUGGGCCGGCACGUUUACUUUGAACAAAUUAGAGUGCUCAAAGCAGGCAGUGGUUCGCCUGAAUAUUGUGUGCAUGGAAUAAUGGAAUAGGACCUCGGUUCUAUUUUGUUGGUUUUCGGAACUUGAGGUAAUGAUUAAUAGGGACAGACGGGGGCAUUCGUAUUGCGACGUUAGAGGUGAAAUUCUUGGAUCGUCGCAAGACGAACCUAAGCGAAAGCAUUUGCCAUGAGUGUUUUCACUAAUCAAGAACGAAAGUUAGAGGUUCGAAGGCGAUCAGAUACCGCCCUAGUUCUAACCAUAAACGAUGCCAGCUAGCGAUCCGCCGAAGUUCCUCCGAUGACUCGGCGGGCAGCUUCCGGGAAACCAAAGCUUUUGGGUUCCGGGGGAAGUAUGGUUGCAAAGCUGAAACUUAAAGGAAUUGACGGAAGGGCACCACCAGGAGUGGAGCCUGCGGCUUAAUUUGACUCAACACGGGAAACCUCACCAGGCCCGGACACCGGAAGGAUUGACAGAUUGAGAGCUCUUUCUUGAUUCGGUGGGUGGUGGUGCAUGGCCGUUCUUAGUUGGUGGAGCGAU
Molecule: ribosomal RNA, 945 nt
Filed under: Spinohirasea bengalensis
Lineage: Eukaryota; Metazoa; Arthropoda; Insecta; Phasmatodea; Lonchodidae
Description: SSU rRNA
Rfam family: Eukaryotic small subunit ribosomal RNA
Source: RNAcentral